UCCGAAUAUUUUUUUGCCGGUGUUUGUGGGAUGAUAAUUUCAGCCCUCCCUCAUUUGGCCAUCUACCACACAGUGGAUUAAAAAGUGAGUGAUAGUGGUAGAAUUAAAUUCAAAUAUUAAAAAAGAAACAGUUGGACCACCAGAUUCUAAAAUAGAAAGAAAAGAUAUUUAAGAAAGUGAAAUAAGUGGAAUGUUAAUUGGUGCCAACAAUUUUGGAUAAAGAAACCCAGCAAACAACAAGAAAAGUUUGAUUCCCGGCGGCCCGAAUUAAAUUAUGGAGAGCGGGGCCGCCGCCCAAAAAAAAAAAAAACAAAAAAAUUUGAAAUUUAAUAAAAAUUCAAACAAAUUUUGAAAUUGGAUAAAAUUCAAAAAAAUUUUGAAAGUGAACAAAAUUAAAAAUUGAACACAAAUUUGAAAUUAAAUAAAAUUUAAAAACUAAAACCCAAAGAAGAAAAAUUUGAAAUUAAAGGAAAUAAAAAACAAAAAUAACUUGAAAGAAAAGGAAAUUUAGACGGGAACCAAAUUGAAGGAGAAAAAAGCAAUCAAUUUAUAAAUUAUAUAAACAUAUGCGUACAUCUCCAUAUCAUACAUAUAUUUCUUCGUACCUAACCAGUGGAUCUUUUUGUGUUUGUGAUUGUCCUAUAUUUAAGUUUUUUUUUUGAAAUUUAACAAAUUAAUUUAUCGGCGUGGAAGUUAUUAUUUUUUUUGUUUAUUUCCAUAAUCUUGUUCUUUUUUUCGUCAUAUUUGAUUGUGAGGUGUGAAAAAAAAAGGUUGGUGUUAAUUUCGUGUUCGGUACCAUAAUUUUUUUGUUGUAUAGGGUCCUAAAAGAUACCUCCACAGAGCUCUUUAGGGGUAAGGAAUUAGGGCGCCGAUAAUCGUAUCCGCUUAACAAAAAAAGAAAAUACCACAAAGGGUUCUUCUACGUAAAGGUAGAAACCAAUAAAGACUUAGGACUACCAACCUGACUUUUUUGUUACCAGUUUUUUUUCUUGUUUUUUUGAUGUUAAUUUUUUUGUUAAUUUAUUUUGUUUGUAAAUCUGAUGAUUAAGCUGUCAAUUAAAUAAAAUUAAACUUCCGACAGAAACGCCGGAAAUAGAAAAAAACGUUUUUUUAUGUUUCGCCCAAGCGAAACGAUGAGAGCUUAAGUCUUUUUUUUUCAGGGGUGUCAAGGGUAGCGGAGUAGACGUGGAGUUAAGAUGACCUGAACCCGAUCAUCGACCAACAACAAUUUUGGGGGUAUCCAAAACUGGCCACGGAUACCUAAAGGUAGGGUGGGUAAUGGCCUCACUGCACUAACAUCCGCAGUGCCCUGAUGUGCCAAUAGUCCGUCCGUAUAUGUUUCCUUUCUUUUCCUCAUUCCUUGGCCUGAUAUAUGUUUUUGUCUGCAGGCGAGGUUGAGUUUCAGGGGCAAGAUCCCCCCCCGUCCGACGAGCUGACGCCGUGCAUCGCAAGCAGGCCGCGUCCCCCGGAUCUCAACAAUCCCACCUAACCUAUUCCAACUCUUCCUAUCUCUUUUUCCUACCUCAUCCUUAUCCUACCCUUCCACUUCACCCACCUCCACACCUCC
Eupeodes corollae is the source of this 1567-nucleotide long non-coding RNA. RefSeq lists it as uncharacterized. The transcript has 3 exons. NCBI's taxonomy places the organism in Eukaryota, Metazoa, Arthropoda, Insecta, Diptera, Syrphidae. The record is from RefSeq and is a predicted model, not a curated record.